CGCUUGUCACUUUGACGCACCUUUGUUUACAUACGUGUCGAAAUUCAAAACAGCACUUCCUAAACCCCCUAAAAAUGUCCCGGGAAAAAAACAACGUGUGUAUAGUGGUCCUGGGGGACAUAGGGCGCAGCCCCAGGAUGCAAUACCACGCCCUCUCCUUAGGAGAGAAGGGCCAUAAGGUGGAUAUCGUGGGGUACGGAGAGACCGAGCCCAUGGGGCCAAUUAAAGCCUCCCCCUCGGUUUUUUAUCACUACAUGUGUCCCGUGCCCCAAGUUCCCUUGAAACUGUUGAAUUACGCCUUUAAAACCGUGUUCCAGGCGUUGAAUUUGUUGUUUUUGUUGUGCACCAUUCGGAGGCCUCAGGUUCUGUUGGUGCAGAACCCUCCGGCCAUACCGAGUCUCGGGGUGUGUUGGUUGUUUUGCCGGAUCGUUAGGGCGAAGUUGAUAAUUGACUGGCACAACUAUGCCCACACUAUUAUGGCCCUAAACCUCUCGAAAGGCCAUAAGUUGGUCAAAAUAACUGAGAAAGUUGAGGCUUUUUUCGGUAUUAGGGCAGAUGCGUGCUUCUGCGUCACUAAGGCUAUGAAAAAAGACCUUUGGGACAGGUGGAAUGUGCAGGCUACGGUUUUAUAUGACAAACCCCCCGAAAUCUUUCGAAAGAUCUCUCUUAAAGAAAAACAUGAUUUUUUAAUGAAACUUGGGGAAAAAUACCCGGAAAUCUUAAGCAAUGAUGGCUCAACAAGGUUUACUGUAUCUAAACAGGGGGAGGUUGCUUUAAAACCCGAUAGGCCAGGCCUUUUGGUGUCGAGCACAAGCUGGACAGAAGAUGAAGACUUCUCAAUCCUAUUCUCAGCCUUACAAAACUAUGAGGACCAUUACACCUCCCAUAAACUCCCCGACUUAAUCUGUUUUAUCACCGGCAAGGGCCAUUCAAAGCAAUUUUACUGCGAUAAAAUUAAAAAUCAACAGUGGCAACAUGUCACCGUAAUCACCCCCUGGCUUGAGCCAAGCGAAUACCCGAAAAUAAUCGCUUCUGCAGACCUCGGGGUAAGUCUGCACACAAGUUCCAGCGGCCUUGACUUACCCAUGAAGGUGGUGGACAUGUUCGGAUGCUGUUUACCAGUUCUAGCCCACGAUUUUAAAUGCUUGAACGAGCUGGCUGUCCAUGGGGAGAACAGCUAUAGCUUCAGUACAGCUGAGGAGCUAUCUGAACAGCUGUUAAGCUGGUUCAGGCAGUUCCCCAAUAAUCAGGAGCAAAAACUGAUAGAGACCUUAAACUACUCCUGGCUCCUCCUCAACUCACUCUCGAAAAUGAUCGAAGCAACCCUCUCGGCCUCCUCCAUCUUCCUCUCCUUCAUAUAAGGUUUGUAUAUCCCCCUGUAGCCAAUAAACAAGCUCGCAGUCAACCCUACUAUCCCUAAUAUGAGGUAUGUAGGAUUUCCGGACUUCUGGACGCCUCCGUAGAGCUUAUAGGCCCCCUUUUCCAGCAUUUUCUCGUACGUCCACCUGGUUUUCAGCUGAGAAAUCCGCCUUUUUCGCCCCCUCGAAGAUCGGUUUCCAGAUGUAGAUGCCCCCAAGGACUCCCAGGACAGUCACUAAACCGAUUUCGACCCCGUUUAAGUUGCCGAAACGCCUUAUUCUCAUAGUUUUUAUUGGGUUUUGGUGGUUAUGUCAUGUUUGUUUACGUUCUGGGGCGUGUGGUGACGUAACCUAGAAGCUCGUGCGUGCGCGGAAUUUCGUCAACAGAUGGCGGCAGGGUCUACAAGUCGCGCUCUCAAGCGGGGAAACCCCGUUAUUUUGUGGAAGGAUCCGAAAUCGAAUAAGGGGGCUUAAAUAAAUGUAAGAAAAAUCAAUAUGGCGCGUGCCUAGGAGUUGUUCAGAUGGCGUAAGUAUUAAACAAAAUGGCGGAUGCAAAAAUUUUUAGAGUAUAACCACUAUGAUAUAACAACCUAAAGGUUAAAUGUGAUUGAUGUUUUGACAACAGAUGGCGGGGGAGUCUACAACUCUACAUGUUGUAUUUAUAAACGGGGAAACCCCGUAAUUACGUAGAUCUAAGGAUCCAAAAUCGAAUAAGGAGUCUAUAAGAGGCUUAAAUAAAUGUAAGAAAAACCUUGUUUUUAUUUAGUACUUUAGGGUUAUUGGUUUUGAUUUCAAAAGAUCAAUAUGGCGCGUGCCUAGGAGUUCUUAAGAUGGCGUAAGUAUUAAACAAAAUGGCGGAUGCAAAAGCUUUAGUUCAAUUUACAGGCAUUUUUGGAGUAUAACCACUAUGUUAUAACAUAACCUAAAGGUUUGUAAAUGUGAUAUUUUGGCAACAGAUGGUGGGAGGGUCUAUAUGUUGUUUCUAAACGGGGAAACCCCGUAAUCAUGUGGGUCUAAGGAUCCAAAAUCGAAUAAGGAGGCUUGAAUAAAUGUAAGAAAAACUGUGUCCUUAUUCAGUAUUUUAGGGUUAUUUUUGAAAAAAUGGUCUUGACUUCAAAAAAUCAAUAUGGCGGAUGCCUGGGAGUUGUUAAGAUGGCGUAAGCAUUAAACAAAAUGGCGGAUGUAAAAGCUUUAGUUCAAUUUACAGGCAUUUUUAGAGUAUAACCACUAUGGUAUAACAUGACCUAAAGGUUUGUAAAUGUCAUAUUUUAAAAACUGGGUUUUUGUUUUUGUAAUUUGGGGUUAUUCUUAAAAAAAUGGUUUUGACUUCAAAAAGUUAAUAUGGCGAACGCCUGGGAGUUGUUAAGAUGGCGUAAGUAUUAAACAAAAUGGCGGAUGCAAAAGCUUUAGUUCAAUUUACAGGCAUUUUUAGAGUAUAACCACUAUGUUAUAACAUAACCUAAAGGUUUGUAAAUGUGAUUUUUUGGCAACAGAUGGCGGGAGGGUCUUCUAAACGGGGAAACCCCGUAAUUAUGUGGGUCUAAGGAUUCAAAAUCGAAUAAGGAGGCUUAAAUAAAUGCAAGAAAGACUGUUCCUAUUAGUAAUUUAUGGUUAUUCUUGAAAAAAUGGUUUGGACCUCAA
Molecule: RNA transcript, 2999 nt
Organism: Anthonomus grandis grandis
Lineage: Eukaryota; Metazoa; Arthropoda; Insecta; Coleoptera; Curculionidae
Gene: Alg1
Gene name: chitobiosyldiphosphodolichol beta-mannosyltransferase
Exons: 8
Source: RefSeq, a predicted model, not a curated record